Pelobates fuscus (common spadefoot toad) is the source of this 420-nucleotide non-coding RNA. Lineage: Eukaryota; Metazoa; Chordata; Amphibia; Anura; Pelobatidae. The record is from the annotation of a RefSeq genome assembly.
CAGAUACUGUGUAUUGUCUGCUCUUAUUAUCCACUGAACAAAAUGAGGGCUUUCUACAUUGUGCUCCCUCUGCUGAUAUCUGUGUCAUAUGUCCUCUCACAAGCAGUUACAUUGGAUCAACCUGGAUCUCUGACUGUUAAACCUUCAGAGACUAUGAAACUGCCUUGUAAAGUUUCAGUGGCUGUUACUAGUUAUUACUGGGGCUGGAUCAGACAGCUUCCAGGAAAGGGACUGGAAUACAUUGGUCGUAUUAGCAGUGGUGGGGGCUCGGAACCUGCUUCUUCUUUUAGCAGUCGAGCCACUUUCACCAGAGACACCGCAAAGAAUGAAGUUUAUGUCCAAGUCACCAAUAUGAGAAGUGAAGAAUCUGGUGUAUAUUACUGUGCAAGAGACACAGUGAGACAAGGAACUACAGACUGA